CAGCAGCCGCGGGAAUGCGAAGGUCCCGAGCGUUGUUCGGAAUCACUGGGCGUAAAGGGAGCGUAGGCGGCGUGGUAAGUCAGAUGUGAAAUCCCGGGGCUCAACCCCGGAACUGCAUCCGAUACUGCCAUGCUAGAGGAUUGGAGAGGUAGCUGGAAUUCUUGGUGUAGCAGUGAAAUGCGUGGAGAUCAAGAGGAACACUCGUGGCGAAAGCGAGCUACUGGACAAUAACUGACGCUGAGGCUCGAAGGCCAGGGUAGCGAAAGGGAUUAGAUACCCGCGUAGUCCCUGUCUCUUAUAU
Molecule: ribosomal RNA, 301 nt
Filed under: uncultured bacterium
Lineage: Bacteria
Description: partial 16S ribosomal RNA
Rfam family: Bacterial small subunit ribosomal RNA
Source: RNAcentral